AUUGAACGCUGGCGGCAGGCCUAACACAUGCAAGUCGAGCGGAUGAAGGGAGCUUGCUCCUGGAUUCAGCGGCGGACGGGUGAGUAAUGCCUAGGAAUCUGCCUGGUAGUGGGGGAUAACGUCCGGAAACGGGCGCUAAUACCGCAUACGUCCUGAGGGAGAAAGUGGGGGAUCUUCGGACCUCACGCUAUCAGAUGAGCCUAGGUCGGAUUAGCUAGUUGGUGGGGUAAAGGCCUACCAAGGCGACGAUCCGUAACUGGUCUGAGAGGAUGAUCAGUCACACUGGAGCUGAGACACGGUCCAGACUCCUACGGGAGGCAGCAGUGGGGAAUAUUAGACAGUGGGCGAAAGCCUGGUCCAACCAUGCCGCGUGUGUGAAGAAGGUCUUCGGAGUGUAAAGCACUUUAAGUUGGGAGAAAGGGCAGUAAGUUAAUACCUUGCUGUUUUGACGUUACCAACAGAAUAAGCACCGGCUAACUUCGUG
Molecule: ribosomal RNA, 484 nt
Filed under: uncultured bacterium
Lineage: Bacteria
Description: partial 16S ribosomal RNA
Rfam family: Bacterial small subunit ribosomal RNA
Source: RNAcentral